Molecule: long non-coding RNA, 769 nt
Filed under: Homo sapiens (human)
Lineage: Eukaryota; Metazoa; Chordata; Mammalia; Primates; Hominidae
Description: HSALNT0083536
Source: RNAcentral
CGCGAGCGUGUGUGCUGCCAGCUGCUCUGGAACAAUGGGGCCCUUUAUGUCGCUCGUGCACCUCAGCACGGAUUUAGUAAUGUUUUGAUUUAUCAAGGACAAGCGUCAGCAGGCAGGAGAGAGGCUGUUUAUACCUAAGAGCUGCUUUUCCGUGAGGUCUGUAGUGAAGGACCUCCUCAAGGUCUUCAAGUGAGAUCCUGUCCUCCAGGGGUUGGACAAGGUCUCAUCUUCCUGGAACCUCUGUCUUGGGCAGCAACAGAGCCUCCCCAGAUUAAACACUUGAAGACCGACCUUCAGGAACCCCAAAUACUCCAACCACCUGCCGAACACAGGGCAGUUACUGACGAACUCCGGCAGUUCUCCAACCACGGCCCAGCAAAGCCAGGUGCACACGCUGCCUACCACAGUGCCAUCUCUACAGUUUAUUGACGUAGAAAAGAGAGUCAUGUGUCUCUAUAACUUUAAAAAUAUUACCUUUGUGAUAGUUUGCUGAGAAUGAUGGUUUCCAGUUUCAUCCAUGUCCCUACAAAGGACAUGAACUCAUCACUUUUUAUGGCUGCAUAGUAUUCCAUGGUGGAUAUGUGCCACAUUUUCUUAAUCCAGUCUAUCGUUGUUGGACAUUUAGGUUGGUUCCAAGUCUUUGCUAUUGUGAAUAGUGCCACAAUAAACAUACGUGUGCAUGUGUCUUUAUAGCAGCAUGAUUUAAGGACAAAAAAACCAAACACCGCAUGUUCUCACUCUUAGGUGGGAAUUGAACAAUGAGAACACA